RNAcentral lists this ribosomal RNA (515 nucleotides) under uncultured bacterium. RNAcentral describes it as "partial 16S ribosomal RNA". It matches the Rfam family "Bacterial small subunit ribosomal RNA", at positions 28 to 523 of the family's 1533-position model. The record is from RNAcentral.
GAUGAACGCUGGCGGCGUGCCUAAUACAUGCAAGUCGAGCGAAUGGAUUAAGAGCUUGCUCUUAUGAAGUUAGCGGCGGACGGGUGAGUAACACGUGGGUAACCUGCCCAUAAGACUGGGAUAACUCCGGGAAACCGGGGCUAAUACCGGAUAACAUUUUGAACCGCAUGGUUCGAAAUUGAAAGGCGGCUUCGGCUGUCACUUAUGGAUGGACCCGCGUCGCAUUAGCGAAUUGGUGAGGUAACGGCUCACCAAGGCAACGAAGCGUAGCCGACCUGAGAGGGUGAUCGGCCACACUGGGACUGAGACACGGCCCAGACUCCUACGGGAGGCAGCAGUAGGGAAUCUUCCGCAAUGGACGAAAGUCUGACGGAGCAACGCCGCGUGAGUGAUGAAGGCUUUCGGGUCGUAAAACUCUGUUGUUAGGGAAGAACAAGUGCUAGUUGAAUAAGCUGGCACCUUGACGGUACCUAACCAGAAAGCCACGGCUAACUACGUGCCAGCCGCCGCCGUAA